CAGAAAAAGUGUUCACCGAUCACUCUAAAGCCAUGAUCAUCAAUGUUAACAUGAUGAUCAGACCAUUUCAAACACCUUUCCUCGAUUUCUACGUCCAAAGAAGAAAAACACAGAAAUCCCAUUGCCCCUAAACAAUUGCACUAAAAGAAAGACCCCAAAUUCAAUCAAGUUCCUCCAAAGAGCCAAAACCAAGAAAAUCAAAAUCUUGAUAAUCAAAAACCAAAAUUCGAAAAAUCACACACAAAAAUAAAAUCUUCACAACACAUACAAAUCAAACAGACCAAAACAAGAGAAACCCAAUUCAGUUAAAGGGAUUAGAGAACAAUGCAGGAGGAAGAAAAGACUGAACUAGUGAUUAAAAAAG
This 364-nucleotide unclassified non-coding RNA is filed under the name Hevea brasiliensis (rubber tree). The record is from RNAcentral. Lineage: Eukaryota; Viridiplantae; Streptophyta; Magnoliopsida; Malpighiales; Euphorbiaceae.